RNAcentral lists this non-coding RNA (233 nucleotides) under Chromatiales bacterium. Lineage: Bacteria; Pseudomonadati; Pseudomonadota; Gammaproteobacteria; Chromatiales. The record is from RNAcentral.
CAUAUUGUGCACGCUUCAGGUGUCCCUAAGAACGUUCGAUCGAAGGGAUGAAACGGGAAGCCGGUGCGCGCUCGAGUUUCGACCCGAGCGCAAUCCCGGCGCUGCCCCCGCAACGGUAAGCAAGUAAGGGAAUCAGCAUCACGCCACUGUGCGUCAAGCAUGGGAAGGCGCUGCUCCCGGGGUUUUUGAACCCACUCGCGAGCCCGGAGACCGGCCUGAAGGUGUUGCAAUGG